This 72-nucleotide transfer RNA is filed under the name Cenarchaeum sp. SB0662_bin_33. RNAcentral's name for it is "tRNA-Ala". It matches the Rfam family "tRNA". Rfam says of the family: Transfer RNA (tRNA) molecules are approximately 80 nucleotides in length. The record is from RNAcentral. Lineage: Archaea; Thermoproteati; Nitrososphaerota; Candidatus Cenarchaeales; Candidatus Cenarchaeaceae.
GGGCCGGUGGCUUAGGGGUAUAGCGCCACGUUCGCAACGUGGAUGUCAGGGGUUCAAAUCCCCUCCGGUCCA